UUCAGUGAAAUCGAGUAGGGCGGGACACGUGAUAUCCUGUCUGAAUAUGGGGGGACCAUCCUCCAAGGCUAAAUACUACUGACUGACCGAUAGUGAACCAGUACCGUGAGGGAAAGGCGAAAAGAACCCCUGUGAGGGGAGUGAAAUAGAACCUGAAACCGUGUACGUACAAGCAGUAGGAGCAGGCUUGUCCUGUGACUGCGUACCUUUUGUAUAAUGGGUCAGCGACUUAUAUUCAGUGGCAAGGUUAACCAUCUAGGGGAGCCGUAGGGAAACCGAGUCUUAACUGGGCGUUCAGUCUCUGGAUAUAGACCCGAAACCAGGUGAUCUAGCCAUGGGCAGGUUGAAGGUUGAGUAACAUCAACUGGAGGACCGAACCGACUAAUGUUGAAAAAUUAGCGGAUGACUUGUGGCUAGGGGUGAAAGGCCAAUCAAACCUGGAGAUAGCUGGUUCUCCCCGAAAGCUAUUUAGGUAGCGCCUCGGACGAAUACUACUGGGGGUAGAGCACUGUUAAGGCUAGGGGGUCAUCCCGACUUACCAACCCUUUGCAAACUCCGAAUACCAGUAAGUACUAUCCGGGAGACACACGGCGGGUGCUAACGUCCGUCGUGGAGAGGGAAACAACCCAGACCGCCAGCUAAGGUCCCAAAUUACUACUAAGUGGGAAACGAUGUGGGAAGGCUCAGACAGCCAGGAUGUUGGCUUAGAAGCAGCCAUCAUUUAAAGAAAGCGUAAUAGCUCACUGGUCGAGUCGGCCUGCGCGGAAGAUGUAACGGGGCUAAGUAGUAAACCGAAGCUGCGGCAAUAUACUUUUGUAUAUUGGGUAGGGGAGCGUUCUGUAAGCGGUUGAAGGUGUGUGGUAACGCAUGCUGGACGUAUCAGAAGUGCGAAUGCUGACAUGAGUAACGAUAAAGGGGGUGAAAAACCUCCUCGCCGGAAGACCAAGGGUUCCUGUCCAACGUUAAUCGGGGCAGGGUAAGUCGACCCCUAAGGCGAGGCCGAAAGGCGUAGUCGAUGGGAAACGGGUUAAUAUUCCCGUACUUCUUACAAUUGCGAUGGGGGGACGGAGAAGGCUAGGUGGGCCUGGCGACGGUUGUCCAGGUUCAAGUGCGUAGGCU
RNAcentral lists this ribosomal RNA (1119 nucleotides) under Vibrio parahaemolyticus. RNAcentral's name for it is "bacterial LSU rRNA". It matches the Rfam family "Bacterial large subunit ribosomal RNA", at positions 398 to 1526 of the family's 2925-position model. Lineage: Bacteria; Pseudomonadati; Pseudomonadota; Gammaproteobacteria; Vibrionales; Vibrionaceae. The record is from RNAcentral.